AGCGGCGGACGGGUGAGUAACACGUGGGUAACCUGGCCGUAAGCUGGGAUAACUCCGGGAAACCGGGGCUAAUACCGGAUGCUUGAUUGAACCGCAUGGUUCAAUUAUAAAAGGUGGCUUUUAGCUACCACUUACAGAUGGACCCGCGGCGCAUUAGCUAGUUGGUGAGGUAACGGCUCACCAAGGCAACGAUGCGUAGCCGACCUGAGAGGGUGAUCGGCCACACUGGGACUGAGACACGGCCCAGACUCCUACGGGAGGCAGCAGUAG
Molecule: ribosomal RNA, 270 nt
Filed under: Bacillus licheniformis
Lineage: Bacteria; Bacillati; Bacillota; Bacilli; Caryophanales; Bacillaceae
Description: partial 16S ribosomal RNA
Rfam family: Bacterial small subunit ribosomal RNA
Source: RNAcentral